AAGGUUUGCAAAAUUGCAGAGUUCCAUAACAAGUAACAGAAUUAAUAAAUUUGCACUAAAUCAAUGAUACAAUUAAUUGAACCAUCUUGUAUGACUGCCUCUAGCAACAUGGCUUGGCUUUUGUUCAUCGAAAUAUCUAAUUUUCCUCAGAUCAAUACAAAUAUUGCAAAAUGUAUCAAAUAUUCUUUAUGCUAUUUUAUAUAUGA
This 206-nucleotide unclassified non-coding RNA is filed under the name Hevea brasiliensis (rubber tree). The record is from RNAcentral. Lineage: Eukaryota; Viridiplantae; Streptophyta; Magnoliopsida; Malpighiales; Euphorbiaceae.